This 398-nucleotide ribosomal RNA is filed under the name uncultured bacterium. Its description in RNAcentral is "bacterial SSU rRNA". It matches the Rfam family "Bacterial small subunit ribosomal RNA", at positions 29 to 412 of the family's 1533-position model. The record is from RNAcentral.
AGCGAACGCUGGCGGCGUGCCUAACACAUGCAAGUCGAACGUGAAAUGGGGGCAACCCAAAGUAAAGUGGCGUACGGGUGAGUAACGCGUAGGUAAUCUACCUGAGAGUCUGGAAUAACCGGCCGAAAGGCUGGCUAAUACUGGAUAGAGCGAGGAAUCCGUAAUUGGGUUUUUCGGGAAAGGGAGGCAGCAAUGCCCCUCGCUUUCAGAUGAGCCUGCGUCUCAUUAGCUAGUGGUGAGGUAAUGGCUCACCAAGGCAUUGAUGGGUAGCUGGUCUGAGAGGAUGGUCAGCCGGAUUGGGACUGAGAUACGGCCCAGACUCCGUACGGGGGCAGCAAUUAGGAAUCUUGCGCAAUGGGCGAAAGCCUGACGCAGCGACGUCGCGGUGGGGGGAGGAA